AGAUUGAACGCUAGCGGGAUGCUUUACACAUGCAAGUCGAACGGCAGCGCGGACUUCGGUCUGGCGGCGAGUGGCGAACGGGUGAGUAAUAUAUCGGAACGUGCCCAGUAGCGGGGGAUAACUACGCGAAAGCGUGGCUAAUACCGCAUACGCCCUACGGGGGAAAGGGGGGGAUUCUUCGGAACCUCUCACUAUUGGAGCGGCCGAUAUCAGAUUAGCUGGUUGGUGAGGUAAAGGCUCACCAAGGCGACGAUCUGUAGCUGGUUUGAGAGGACGACCAGCCACACUGGGACUGAGACACGGCCCAGACUCCUACGGGAGCAGCAGUGGGAAUUUGGACAAGUGGGGAAACCUGAUCCAGCCAUCCCGCGUGUGCGAUGAAGGUCCGUUCGGGUUGUAAAGUCACGUUUUGGACGUAGGGAAGAAACGGACCGUACCCCGUAAGUACGGGCGUCCGACUGACGGUACCUGC
This 472-nucleotide ribosomal RNA is filed under the name uncultured soil bacterium. RNAcentral's name for it is "bacterial SSU rRNA". It matches the Rfam family "Bacterial small subunit ribosomal RNA", at positions 26 to 497 of the family's 1533-position model. The record is from RNAcentral.